RNAcentral lists this ribosomal RNA (463 nucleotides) under uncultured bacterium. RNAcentral's name for it is "partial 16S ribosomal RNA". It matches the Rfam family "Bacterial small subunit ribosomal RNA", at positions 28 to 507 of the family's 1533-position model. The record is from RNAcentral.
GACGAACGCUGGCGGCGUGCUUAACACAUGCAAGUCGAACGGAAAGGCCUUGUCGGUGGUAGUCGAGUGGGGGACGGGUGGGUAAGACGCGGGUGAUCUGCCUUGCACUCUGGGAGAAGUCUGUGAAAGAAGGUCUAGUACCGGCUAGGAAGGCGCUCUAGCGGGUGGGGGGGGAAGGUUUUUCGGUGGAGGAUGGGGCCGCGGCCUAUCAGCUUGUUGGUGGGGGAAUGGCCUACCAAGGCGGCGACGGGUAGCCGGACUGGGAGGGUGGUCGGCCACAUUGGGGCUGAGAUACCGCCCAGACUCCUACGGGAGGGAGGGGUGGGGAAUAUUGCAAAAAGGGGGCAAGCCUGAUGCCACGACGCCGCGGGGCGGAUGACGGCCUUCGGGUUGUAAACUCCUUUCGCCAGGGACGAAGCGUUUUGUGACGGUACCUGGAGAAGAAGCACCGGCUAACUACGUG